UUACAACUUCUUAGUUUCUAAAAACUAUUAUAAUAAGUUAUAAAGAAAAUAUAAUCUAUUUCAUUCAUGCAACUAAAGUAAACUAUGGGCAAAAUUGCAAAGUUUGUUUGCAUUCUGAUUAUCUUUCUUUCCUUAUUUCUUUUUGAAAUCACUGUCGGCGGGCGUUAUACCACACCUUGGUGUGUUCGAGAUAUUGAUUGUCCAAAAGAGAAGUGCAAGCAUCCUUUUAAACCGAGGUGUCUUACUCAUAGUUGUGUAUGUCGUUUAUGGGGUUCUCAAGAUGUCAUUUAGUUAUUUUGUCGUCAGUUAAUGACUUUUUUUUUUCUUUUAAUAAUUUCAUGAAUGUUUUGUUAUGAAUUUGUAACCCAGUAUUAUUGUGAUAAAAUGAAAUAAGGUAGAAAAAUAUAUUAUAUAGAUUGUACUUCUUAUUCUUUCUUAA
This is a long non-coding RNA of Medicago truncatula (barrel medic), 439 nucleotides long. RefSeq lists it as uncharacterized. The transcript has 2 exons. The record is from RefSeq and is a predicted model, not a curated record. NCBI's taxonomy places the organism in Eukaryota, Viridiplantae, Streptophyta, Magnoliopsida, Fabales, Fabaceae.